CUCAGCAUUGAUCUUCCAGAAUGACGCUUCCUCCUCCUUCCUGGUGGGGCCCAGGGCGUCCAGGCUGGAGGACCUGCUGCCUUGGGAGGACUUGAGGGCCUGGGAGCCCUGGGAAGCUUUGGACAGUGGUCUGGGCUCGCUGGCGGCGGUGCCGUUGCUCGGCUCCUGGAUGGAUAGGGCGGAGAUACUGAACUCCAUCUGACUCUUUGUUUCCCAGGAGAAAGGGGCAGAGUGCUCAUCUUGCCAAGUUAGAUCCUCGUCCCCGAAGCGCACCACCUUCUGGCCCGUGGGCCCGCGCAAGCCGGGGAAGCGCGUGAGCUCCUCCGAGUCCCCGGGGUCUCGGGGCGCCGGGGCGCGCGGCCCCACCAGGCACCGGUCGAUGAUCUCGUCCUGCUGCGCGGGCGGCAGCCGCGCCCACUCGGGCCCGUACUUCUCGCGGAUCUU
RNAcentral lists this long non-coding RNA (444 nucleotides) under Homo sapiens (human). RNAcentral's name for it is "LNC_000238". Lineage: Eukaryota; Metazoa; Chordata; Mammalia; Primates; Hominidae. The record is from RNAcentral.